RNA transcript from Eucalyptus grandis, 731 nucleotides. It is a transcript of the gene named transcriptional adapter ADA2-like, with no coding region annotated. The transcript is spliced from 3 exons. The record is from RefSeq and is a predicted model, not a curated record. NCBI's taxonomy places the organism in Eukaryota, Viridiplantae, Streptophyta, Magnoliopsida, Myrtales, Myrtaceae.
AUCGGCUGGGGUACUCCCUCUCUCUCCGCCACCGAGCAGCGCGACAGAGAUCUCCAUCGACGGAAGCAUUUGCAGUGAUGCGAGCGCUUCCGGAGUGAGCUCAAUCGAUUCGCAUCGUGCAGACGGCCGCGGAUUGAGGGGAUAUCGUUCGAGCAGCUCCGCGACCUCGAUUCGGAGUCGUCCGACUUUUGCGUGUUUGGCUCGGAUGGGACGUCCUCGCUCGGCUUCUCGCCCGGCCGAUGAAGAUCCGAAUCAAAGAUCCAAGAAGAAAAAGAUUGUCUCUGGUCCAGAAAAUUUAGACUCUGCAUCUGCAGGCUAUAAAAGUAUCAAAAUCUUACGGUCCUACAAUAUAACGAGCUAGAUGGGGGUUAACCUAUUAGUGGUAAGUUGAAUAGCUUGUUAUUUCUCUCACGCUUAAAGGGUUAAAUCUUGUUAAUCAUACUUCUUCUUAGGUAGGGCAAGACAGAUUUCCUGUCUCUGAUUUUGCUGAAAAGUUGGCUGUGCAAUGUAGCUAUUGGUCAGGGAAAUGAAGAGAGGGGCUUCCUACCACUGCAACUACUGCAACAAGUAUAUAUGCGUAUCAAGCGUGCGACUUGUCCAGAUUUUGACCUUUGCAUAGAAUGUUUUUCUGUUGGAGCUGAAAUUACCUCCAAAAUUGGUUAGAAUUACUGUAUAUGCAAAUUAUCAAAAGAUUUAGAUUAAGUUGACUAAAUGAAAGAUUUAAAAUUGAA